RNAcentral lists this transfer-messenger RNA (395 nucleotides) under uncultured Bacteroides sp. It matches the Rfam family "transfer-messenger RNA". From Rfam's summary of the family: Bacterial tmRNA, also known as 10Sa RNA or SsrA, is named for its dual tRNA and mRNA-like properties. Its role is to liberate the mRNA from a stalled ribosome. To accomplish this part of the tmRNA is used as a reading frame that ends in a translation stop signal. Lineage: Bacteria; Pseudomonadati; Bacteroidota; Bacteroidia; Bacteroidales; Bacteroidaceae. The record is from RNAcentral.
GGGGUUGACUGGAUUUGACAGCGGGUAGAACGGAUAAGUAAGCAUGCAGUGCGUCGUUGAUUUGCACUAUAAUCUCAGUCUUCAAAAUUUUAUCUGGCGAAAAUAAUUACGCUCUUGCUGCUUAAUCGAAUCAUAGUAGAUUAACUUAAUCCCGGUACUAGGUACUGGGACGAGACAUCACUCGGAAGCCGUUGCUCCGAAGCAUUCCGAUUCAGUGGUGCAGUUAAAUCGGGGAUAGUUCAUACUUGCCUUGAAGUAUGAAUGAAAUUUAAGAGGAUAAGGUAAUGGUUGAUGGCUUUGGUUCUGCCAUUACACGAAAAUCUAGGCAAAGAUAAGCAUGUAGAAAGCUUAUACCUUCCUCGUUUGGACGAGGGUUCGAUUCCCUCCAGCUCCAC